This 3005-nucleotide ribosomal RNA is filed under the name Klebsiella quasipneumoniae. Its description in RNAcentral is "23S ribosomal RNA". It matches the Rfam family "Bacterial large subunit ribosomal RNA". The record is from RNAcentral. Lineage: Bacteria; Pseudomonadati; Pseudomonadota; Gammaproteobacteria; Enterobacterales; Enterobacteriaceae.
GGUUAAGCGACUAAGCGUACACGGUGGAUGCCCUGGCAGUCAGAGGCGAUGAAGGACGUGCUAAUCUGCGAAAAGCGUCGGUAAGGUGAUAUGAACCGUUAUAGCCGGCGAUGUCCGAAUGGGGAAACCCAGUGCAAUUCGUUGCACUAUCGUUAACUGAAUACAUAGGUUAACGAGGCGAACCGGGGGAACUGAAACAUCUAAGUACCCCGAGGAAAAGAAAUCAACCGAGAUUCCCCCAGUAGCGGCGAGCGAACGGGGAGCAGCCCAGAGUCUGAAUCAGCUUGUGUGUUAGUGGAACGGUCUGGAAAGUCCGACGGUACAGGGUGAUAGUCCCGUACACCAAAAUGCACAGGCUGUGAACUCGAAGAGUAGGGCGGGACACGUGGUAUCCUGUCUGAAUAUGGGGGGACCAUCCUCCAAGGCUAAAUACUCCUGACUGACCGAUAGUGAACCAGUACCGUGAGGGAAAGGCGAAAAGAACCCCGGCGAGGGGAGUGAAAAAGAACCUGAAACCGUGUACGUACAAGCAGUGGGAGCCCCACCACUAAGCCAGUGGUGAACUCCACAUAUGCAUCCUUUGCUGAAGGUGCGGUUAACGGAGCGUAAGCGACGUUCAACCUCAAAAGAAGCAGAGGGGGCUUAGUGGUGGGGUGACUGCGUACCUUUUGUAUAAUGGGUCAGCGACUUAUAUUCUGUAGCAAGGUUAACCGUAUAGGGGAGCCGCAGGGAAACCGAGUCUUAACUGGGCGUUAAGUUGCAGGGUAUAGACCCGAAACCCGGUGAUCUAGCCAUGGGCAGGUUGAAGGUUGGGUAACACUAACUGGAGGACCGAACCGACUAAUGUUGAAAAAUUAGCGGAUGACUUGUGGCUGGGGGUGAAAGGCCAAUCAAACCGGGAGAUAGCUGGUUCUCCCCGAAAGCUAUUUAGGUAGCGCCUCGUGAACUCAUCUUCGGGGGUAGAGCACUGUUUCGGCUAGGGGGCCAUCCCGGCUUACCAACCCGAUGCAAACUACGAAUACCGAAGAAUGUUAUCACGGGAGACACACGGCGGGUGCUAACGUCCGUCGUGAAGAGGGAAACAACCCAGACCGCCAGCUAAGGUCCCAAAGUCAUGGUUAAGUGGGAAACGAUGUGGGAAGGCACAGACAGCCAGGAUGUUGGCUUAGAAGCAGCCAUCAUUUAAAGAAAGCGUAAUAGCUCACUGGUCGAGUCGGCCUGCGCGGAAGAUGUAACGGGGCUAAACCAUGCACCGAAGCUGCGGCAGCGACACUAUGUGUUGUUGGGUAGGGGAGCGUUCUGUAAGCCUGCGAAGGUGACCUGUGAGGGUUGCUGGAGGUAUCAGAAGUGCGAAUGCUGACAUAAGUAACGAUAAAGCGGGUGAAAAGCCCGCUCGCCGGAAGACCAAGGGUUCCUGUCCAACGUUAAUCGGGGCAGGGUGAGUCGACCCCUAAGGCGAGGCCGAAAGGCGUAGUCGAUGGGAAACAGGUUAAUAUUCCUGUACUUGGUGUUACUGCGAAGGGGGGACGGAGAAGGCUAUGUUAGCCGGGCGACGGUUGUCCCGGUUUAAGCAUGUAGGCUGGUUAUCCAGGCAAAUCCGGAUAAUCAAGGCUGAGGUGUGAUGACGAGGCACUACGGUGCUGAAGUAACAAAUGCCCUGCUUCCAGGAAAAGCCUCUAAGCAUCAGGUAACAUCAAAUCGUACCCCAAACCGACACAGGUGGUCAGGUAGAGAAUACCAAGGCGCUUGAGAGAACUCGGGUGAAGGAACUAGGCAAAAUGGUGCCGUAACUUCGGGAGAAGGCACGCUGGUGUGUAGGUGAAGUCCCUGCGGAUGGAGCUGAGACCAGUCGAAGAUACCAGCUGGCUGCAACUGUUUAUUAAAAACACAGCACUGUGCAAACACGAAAGUGGACGUAUACGGUGUGACGCCUGCCCGGUGCCGGAAGGUUAAUUGAUGGGGUUAUCCGUAAGGAGAAGCUCUUGAUCGAAGCCCCGGUAAACGGCGGCCGUAACUAUAACGGUCCUAAGGUAGCGAAAUUCCUUGUCGGGUAAGUUCCGACCUGCACGAAUGGCGUAAUGAUGGCCGGGCUGUCUCCACCCGAGACUCAGUGAAAUUGAACUCGCUGUGAAGAUGCAGUGUACCCGCGGCAAGACGGAAAGACCCCGUGAACCUUUACUAUAGCUUGACACUGAACAUUGAGCCUUGAUGUGUAGGAUAGGUGGGAGGCUUUGAAGCGUGGACGCCAGUCUGCGUGGAGCCAACCUUGAAAUACCACCCUUUAAUGUUUGAUGUUCUAACGUUGGCCCCUUAUCGGGGUUGCGGACAGUGUCUGGUGGGUAGUUUGACUGGGGCGGUCUCCUCCCAAAGCGUAACGGAGGAGCACGAAGGUUAGCUAAUCCUGGUCGGACAUCAGGAGGUUAGUGCAAUGGCAUAAGCUAGCUUGACUGCGAGCGUGACGGCGCGAGCAGGUGCGAAAGCAGGUCAUAGUGAUCCGGUGGUUCUGAAUGGAAGGGCCAUCGCUCAACGGAUAAAAGGUACUCCGGGGAUAACAGGCUGAUACCGCCCAAGAGUUCAUAUCGACGGCGGUGUUUGGCACCUCGAUGUCGGCUCAUCACAUCCUGGGGCUGAAGUAGGUCCCAAGGGUAUGGCUGUUCGCCAUUUAAAGUGGUACGCGAGCUGGGUUUAGAACGUCGUGAGACAGUUCGGUCCCUAUCUGCCGUGGGCGCUGGAGAAUUGAGGGGGGCUGCUCCUAGUACGAGAGGACCGGAGUGGACGCAUCACUGGUGUUCGGGUUGUCAUGCCAAUGGCACUGCCCGGUAGCUAAAUGCGGAAGAGAUAAGUGCUGAAAGCAUCUAAGCACGAAACUUGCCCCGAGAUGAGUUCUCCCUGAGACUUUAAGUCUCCUGAAGGAACGUUGAAGACGACGACGUUGAUAGGCCGGGUGUGUAAGCGCAGCGAUGCGUUGAGCUAACCGGUACUAAUGAACCGUGAGGCUUAACCUU